GACGAACGCUGGCGGCGUGCCUAACACAUGCAAGUCGAACGAAAAGUCCGGGUCUUUGGGCGCACGGCUGCGUAAGCCGUGGGGAUCUGCACUUGGGUUCGGCAUACCUGUGAGAAAUUAAUGCUAAUACCAGAUGGGGUCUUAGGACCAAAGAUUUAUUGCCCCGGGCUGAGCGCUCGUAAGAUUCGGUGGUUGGUAGGGUAAUCGCCUACCAAGGGCACGAUGCUUAGCUGGUCUGAGAGCAUGAUCAGCCACACUAGGGGUAGGACCCGGCCCAGACUCGUACGCAAGGCAGGAGAGGGGAAUAUAGUACGGUGGGGGCAGGCCUGAUCCUGCAAUGCCGCGUAAGUGAUGAAGUCCGUAGGGAUGUAAUGUGCUUUUACCCGGGAUGAUAAUGACGGUACCGGGUGAAUAAGCUCCGGCUAACUACGUG
This 433-nucleotide ribosomal RNA is filed under the name uncultured bacterium. RNAcentral's name for it is "partial 16S ribosomal RNA". It matches the Rfam family "Bacterial small subunit ribosomal RNA", at positions 28 to 507 of the family's 1533-position model. The record is from RNAcentral.